ACGGGUGAGUAACCCGUGCGAAGCGCCCAACUCUACCGAAGAUCUCUCGUAAACUUGUGGGGCGUCCACGGACUCCCUUCAAGUUUCAGAUUGUUCUUCCGUGGAGUGGCCCGCGUUGGACGCGUUGUUGGUGGUCUAAAGGCCUACUUGCGGGGCGUCCAUAUUUGGUCUGAGAGGAUGAUCGCCCACGUUGGUUCUGAGCCACGGUCCAAACUCAUACGGGAGGCAGCAGUGGGGAAUAUUGGAAAAUGGGCGCAAGCCUGAUCCAGCCAUGCCGCGUGUGUGAUGAAGGCCUUAGGGUUGUAAAGCACUUUCACCGGAGAAGAUAAUGACGGUAUCCGGAGAAGAAGCCCCGGCUAACUUCGUGCCAGCAGCCGCGGUAAUACGAAGGGGGCUAGCGUUGUUCGGAAUUACUGGGCGUAAAGCGCACGUAGGCGGAUCGAUCAGUCAGGGGUGAAAUCCCAGAGCUCAACUCUGGAACUGCCUUUGAUACUGUCGAUCUAGAGUAUGGAAGAGGUGAGUGGAAUUCCGAGUGUAGAGGUGAAAUUCGUAGA
This 554-nucleotide ribosomal RNA is filed under the name Blastobacter sp. HRTK072. RNAcentral describes it as "bacterial SSU rRNA". It matches the Rfam family "Bacterial small subunit ribosomal RNA", at positions 102 to 694 of the family's 1533-position model. The record is from RNAcentral. Lineage: Bacteria; Pseudomonadati; Pseudomonadota; Alphaproteobacteria; Hyphomicrobiales; Nitrobacteraceae.